Equus caballus (horse) is the source of this 3274-nucleotide non-coding RNA. The record is from RefSeq and is a predicted model, not a curated record. Lineage: Eukaryota; Metazoa; Chordata; Mammalia; Perissodactyla; Equidae.
CAUGCGCGCUCUCGCUCUGGCGCACGCGCUCUCAAAUAACCUUCAGGGUCUCUCAUCUGAGCUUCACUCCAUUUGCCUGCCACGUUAAUAGUGGUUGAAACACCAAAUGUUGCUGAGGAAAAUUAUCAGUCCUUCAUACCCUACUGUGAAUAGAGUCUGAGAGCCUGCUGUCCUUGUGGAAUAACAAGCAAGAAAUCAUCAACGGAAAACAUCAAGUACCUCGAAGAACAGACAGUGGACAACCACUGUCCUCUUGAUCAUCACCCGCACUCUCAUCAUCAUGGCUCACGUACUCGGAGCAGGCAUGGGAGAGUCUAUAGGCUCUGAAGAAAAGCUCUGCUAAGCUACAACACACGUGAAAUUGUUCUUAAAGUAUCUGUACAGGCAUAAAUACUAUUACGUGAGUCAAAAAUGGCCGAAGGAAAAUUGUCAUGAAAACAUAUGUGCCGGAACAAUGCUCUGGGCGUCAGCCAAAUAGCUGAAGGAGCUGUCAGAGAGACAAAGUGACAGAAGACCCUGGGUAUUGACCCCAAUCUCCAUAACCCCCAAACCCCUUGUGCCACAUGUGAUUAGGUUCACCAUCUAUAAAAUGAAGAUGACAACAGACCCCCUACGCCAGGGUUGCAUGUGAAUGCUGGUGUCUAUAUGUUACAGAACAGGAAAACCACAUAACUGCUCUCAACAUAUGUCAUCAAAAUCAUUGCCAAAAAAAUGUUAUAAGAGGAUUCAUACCACCUGUAUUUCAUAUGUGAGUUGCUUCAGUGGAUUAAAAAAUAUUAUCUACAAACAUAUAUACUAUUAUAUUAUAUAUGGUGUGGCAAUUGAGUUGGUACACAACAGGCUAAUAAAAAAGCUGAUAAAAUGAGAUUAUUUGAGUUAUAGUCCUGUCUAACCCUUACAAAACUUUCUGGCAUUUGAACAUAAGAACUAAACAAUGCAGCAGAUAGAAUGAUUUUCCUUUAAGCAAAGCCCAGAGCAAGGAGAACACAUUGCCCAUUACUGCCUUCUGAAACCUUUUUCCAGGCAUAAAUGUAUGUACUGUAAAUUAAUAGCAUUCUCCCUUACCAAAAAGAAUAUGGGUUUCUUUUUCUCCAUGUACCAUCUAGCAUAAAGACAACACUCAUUAAAAGUUGAAUAAUAAUGAAGCUCCAUUGGCUGGUUUAAUUUUAGGAAGCAUCAUUGUGGAAGAUGGACCAAAAAGCAUAUUCUGAGAUUUAGAUAUACAAUGCAAUUGCUGUCAAUAUCUAAAAACAAUUGCUGAAAUGAACAUGAUAUGAAUACCUUGAAUAAAGCAAUCCUGGCUGCUCACUGUGUUGCAUUAAAGCACACAAACUCAUGCACAUACACACGCGGCUUUACACUGCCCAAUUUGGGGUUUGUAAAAGCUACGUGGUCUGUAUUUCCGUUUGUGAUUUGUUUUUCUCCUGAUUUCCUCUCUCUCUUUUCUCAGGUUCACAUAACAUUUAUUUCAUACAUUUUCCUAACAGUAAACAUAUAGUCUGUGGGUAACAGUGCUGCUGACUGAUUAUAUUUUACUGAGGUGGUAGAUUGCUUAAAGACAACAUCAAAAAGUUUGCCAUCGACUCCCUUUCUUUUGAACUACUCCGAGCCCUAAUAUUUGCUUGGCUUCUGAACUGAGUUGCCAAACACCCUUCUCCAAAACCUUAGAUUCUCUCUUAAACUGUGGAACCUCUCUCCACAGAAACACUAACCUCUAUAGAAAAAAGGCAGAAAACAGAAAAGGGUGUGUAUGCACCCCCUGCUCAUGUUUCUGAAAAGAAAAUCAAAUAGGCUCUCAAAGAAAAUAAGCAUCAAGUGAUAUGAAAGCAACAGUUUUAUUUAGGGGGUUUUUAGUUUGAUUGCUUUUGGUAUGUUUUUCCAUUGUGGUGGGGAGAAGUGGGAGCACCAUUAUGAAUGCAGAGAGAAUAUUUGCACCAAAGAUAUGCAGAAUAUGAUUGAUCUGCAGGUGUCUGGGCAACCAAGAGAACAUCUAGGAAGUGAAACAAGAGGGGCCUGUACGCUAAGGCCAAAGUAGACCCCUGUAAGAUGCAUUAUGGGAGCUGGGCACAAUGUACCAGACAGGGCCAAUGGCCUUGUUUGCCAGAGACUGGAGUUCAGUGACUGAUCUGGAAGGAUAUUCAAGCCGCAGAAUAACGCAAAAACAUCUCAGGCACACUGUAGAUUGUGGAACAUGGGGAGACCAUUGCUCUAAGGUAAGGACAGGAAGUUCCUCACUGUAUUGCAAUAUAUUGUUCUUCUGCCCAGUGUUUGCAGUUAGGCAAUGACAGGUUAUCAGGUGAGCAUCUCCUAGUUGGGAUACGAGCACUCAAACUGAGUGUGGAGUCCUCUCUUCCCAAACACUGCUCUUUCAUGCCAGGGACAUCUAGACCUAGGGAUUUUAAAUGUAUUGCUCUUGAUUUCAUGUAGUUUACUUGAGCAGUGAAAGCAAAGUAUCUAUAGCCUGAAUUUCUCUUGGAGUUCUUAUAUUUCUGAUCAAUUUCUCAUGAAGAGUGACCUUAGAGGGUACCCAUAUUCACCUCAAGGGAGAGCCGGUUAUUAAUACAAUGUUAGUGCUCAAUCAGAAGAACUGCAAGUGUUGCCCCCUUUGUUUUGAUAAGUUCUCUGUACUGGCUCCUAUGUGCACCUUUAUGUAAGGAAUCACUGUGUAGGCCAAAUGUUCCUUGAUCUAGAUAGCUUAUAAGCAUCUGUAUAAAUUUACAUUAGAAAUUCAAUUAACUUUAUAUUAAAAGGUCAAUUAACUCGGCCAUGAUAAAGAUUAUUUUUAAUUACUUUUCCUUGUAGGGCUUCUCUUCUUGUCCAAGCACAAGUGACACUAUCAAAUGAUAGUCUCAUUGCCUGUUGCUUGCCUGAAACUCAUAUGCAAAACACAGUAGAAAUGACUGUCUUGGUUAAAUGAAUUAACAGGACACUCUGUGCAGUUCACCACUCUUAGGGUCCUUAGGACUCAAAAUAUCGGCAAGCAAUAAUAGAGAAUUUCAGCUUAAACACUCUCUAUAAGAUCAUUCAUGACAAUAUCCUUUAUUAUUUGUUCUUAUUGGUUUUUGUGUCCUUGGUGAAAGAUGAUAAUAAAGUAAAAUGAUUUUAAGAGUUAGUCCUUAUUACAUUAUAUCACAGUGUAUUUUAUUAAAAACUGAACAAAUAAUGACAUCAAAGACUAGCUGUCCCAUUCUAUUAGAGGGCUCUUGGUUACCUUUGGUUUUAUUUAUUUAUUUAUUUUUUUGAGGAAGAUUAGCCCUGAGCUACCAUCCGUGCC